Molecule: ribosomal RNA, 678 nt
Filed under: Triticum aestivum (bread wheat)
Lineage: Eukaryota; Viridiplantae; Streptophyta; Magnoliopsida; Poales; Poaceae
Description: partial small subunit ribosomal RNA
Source: RNAcentral
AUGUUGCCGACAGAUUUAUUUGAAAGGCUCAUAGUUACACUUUGGGCAAUCUGGGGAGAGCGGAGAAAGGCUAUCCAUGAGGAUAUUUUUCAGUCUCCGAGCUCCACUAAUGGUUUCAUCAAUAGCUACUUGCGGGAUCUCCAUGUUUUGAAACCCAAGCAUCAGAUACCAAGUGCUACUGCAGCUAAUAGGUCCACUCGAUGGAUCAGGCCGGUUGAGGAUACGGCAAAGGUGAAUGUGGAUGCCGCUGUCUCUCGACGCGGCUACAGUGCGAUUGGCGCCAUAUGCAGGGAUCAGAAUGGGGUUUUCUUGGGAGCGUCCUCCCUUUUUUUCAGAAAUAUAGAUGAUCCACAGACCCUCGAGGCGCUUGCGAUAAGGGAGGCUUUAGCUCUCUCGGACGACCUUUAUCUUUGGAGGAUCCAUGUCGCAUCGGACUGCAAGGGGGUGGUCGAGGAAGUACGGAAGGAAAAUGCAACAAGUUAUGGAGCAGUUAUUCAUGAAAUAGUAGACCACUCUCUGUCUUUUGAUUUCUGUAAAUUUAGUCAUGAGUUUAGGAGCUUGAAUUAUGAAGCUCACAACUUAGCGAAACAUGCUCUUACUCUCGGUGAUGGCCGCCAUGUUUGGUUAGGGCAUCCCGGGAAUCUCUCUUUCGUCCUUGUAAACGUGGUGACGGGUUAA